Molecule: ribosomal RNA, 780 nt
Filed under: uncultured Lactobacillus sp.
Lineage: Bacteria; Bacillati; Bacillota; Bacilli; Lactobacillales; Lactobacillaceae
Description: bacterial SSU rRNA
Rfam family: Bacterial small subunit ribosomal RNA
Source: RNAcentral
AAGCGGCUGUCUGGUCUGUAACUGACGCUGAGGCUCGAAAGUAUGGGUAGCAAACAGGAUUAGAUACCUGGUAGUCCAUACCAUAAACGAUGAAUGCUAAGUGUUGGAGGGUUUCCCCCUUCAGUGCUGCAGCUAACGCAUUAAGCAUUCCGCUGGGGAGUACGGCCACAAGGCUGAAACUCAAAGGAAUUGACGGGGGCCCGCACAAGCGGUGGAGCAUGUGGUUUAAUUCGAAGCUACGCGAAGAACCUUACCAGGUCUUGACAUACUAUGCAAAUCUAAGAGAUUAGACGUUCCCUUCGGGGACAUGGAUACAGGUGGUGCAUGGUUGUCGUCAGCUCGUGUCGUGAGAUGUUGGGUUAAGUCCCGCAACGAGCGCAACCCUUAUUAUCAGUUGCCAGCAUUAAGUUGGGCACCCUGGUGAGACUGCCGGUGACAAACCGGAGGAAGGUGGGGACGACGUCAAAUCAUCAUGCCCCUUAUGACCUGGGCUACACACGUGCUACAAUGGAUGGUACAACGAGUUGCGAACUCGCGAGAGUAAGCUAAUCUCUUAAAGCCAUUCUCAGUUCGGAUUGUAGGCUGCAACUCGCCUACAUGAAGUCGGAAUCGCUAGUAAUCGCGGAUCAGCAUGCCGCAGUGAAUACGUUCCCGGGCCUUGUACACACCGCCCGUCACACCAUGAGAGUUUGUAACACCCAAAGUCGGUGGGGUAACCUUUAGGAACCAGCCGCCUAAGGUGGGACAGAUGAUUAGGGUGAAGUCGUAACAAGGUAACCA